RNAcentral lists this ribosomal RNA (554 nucleotides) under uncultured euryarchaeote. RNAcentral describes it as "bacterial SSU rRNA". It matches the Rfam family "Archaeal small subunit ribosomal RNA", at positions 325 to 879 of the family's 1478-position model. Lineage: Archaea; Methanobacteriati; Methanobacteriota. The record is from RNAcentral.
AUGGGGUGCAGCAGGCGCGAACACUUUACAAUGCGGGAAACCGCGAUAAGGGAACCCCGAGUGCCAGCACCAAGUGUUGGCUGUCCAGAUGAUUAAAUCUCAUUUGUUAGCAAGGGCCGGGCAAGACCGGUGCCAGCCGCCGCGGUAACACCGGCGGCCCGAGUGGUAACCGUUUUUAUUGGGUCUAAAGGGUCCGUAGCCGGUCUGAUCAGUCUUUUGGGAAAUCUGGCAGCUUAACUGUCAGGCUUCUAAGAGAUACUGUCAGGCUUGGGACCGGGAGAGGUAAGGGGUACUCCAGGGGUAGGAGUGAAAUCUUGUAAUCCCUGGGGGACCAUCUGUGGCGAAGGCGCCUUACCAGAACGGGUCCGACGGUGAGGGACGAAAGCUAGGGGAGCAAACCGGAUUAGAUACCCGGGUAGUCCUAGCUGUAAACGAUGCUCGCUAGGUGUCAGGCACGGUGCGUCCGUGUUUGGUGCCGUAGGGAAGUCGAGAAGCGAGCCACCUGGGAAGUACGGUCGCAAGGCUGAAACUUAAAGGAAUUGGCGGGGGAGCAC